RNAcentral lists this unclassified non-coding RNA (1511 nucleotides) under Hevea brasiliensis (rubber tree). Lineage: Eukaryota; Viridiplantae; Streptophyta; Magnoliopsida; Malpighiales; Euphorbiaceae. The record is from RNAcentral.
UGAUAUGAUACAUUGCUUUGAUAGUGACGGAGAUGAGAAGCUCGGUUCUUGCUCUUCAUUUUGUUCAGUUUUCCUUAGUUUUAUCAAUUAAUAUAAUGCAAAUAUAUUAUUACUGGUUAGUCUUAAUGGUACAUUGGAAAAGGAUACAAAAAUGAUCAUGGUUGAUCAGUGAUUGUGACUCUGAUUAUUUGUCUGGAUUGGUCUUGUCUAAUGACCAAAUGUAAGCUUGAUGUGCUUCAGGAAUGUGUUCAGGCUCUGGAAUGAAGUUGGACCAUCAAUUCCCACCCUCCACAAGUGUUUCUUUAUUUUUUUUUCAAAAGCCCUUCACGGGUGUAGCAAAUGUAACAUAAUGAUUAUCCAGAGGCUCCUUCUAUUGAACCUUUUUGUGCUAAUGCUUGGCCGGAGUCUCACAUAUUUUGUAAAUUGAAUUUGCAUCCUUCUGGGAAUUAAUUUUUAUCUUCAACAAUAUUUGUCUGUUACCUAACAUGCCCUUAAUUUAAAAAACAAAAUUGUGUCCAAAGCAGUAAUUUCCAGAACCAAGAAAAGUACUUCUCGUCUUGCUAAAAUGCUGAAGCAAUUCGCAGCUCUGCAAGAAACAUGAGCACCGAGGCAGCACAUGAAAACUUUGGGGCCUCAAACUUGGCUCCAGCAAAUAAAAUCAAAUAGCCUAACCCCAAGGUUGGGGCUGACCUGACUGCAAGGCCCUGUGAGCCAUCUUGGCGCAGCUCUCACACGGCUCAUUAUAACAUGAAAAUUAUGAACAUGUACAUCCAUAUGAGGACAAAUGUACGCGAGAGAGCGUUGAGGGAAAAAUACUCACCAAUAAGUUUUGCAAAUCACAGAACCUACAUUAAAAUAGUGAACAACAAUUUCAUCUUACCAGUCAUAACAUUUGACAUGUUUCUCUAAGGUCAAUACAGACCCAUAAGUUAACAUUCCACAUUCCAAUUUUUCAGCAAGGAUGUCAGGCAAUCAUUGACAGGCAACUUGACCGGUCAUGUCCCUUUCAUGAGGUAUCCCAAUAUGAUGCCAAUCAAACCAACAACAAUAACGUAUAUAUAUGGGAUACCACCGCGACUUCUGGAUUGAUGCAUCAACAGCUCCUGCAAUGAAAUUGUGCAGGCGUUCAGUUUUAAAAUAGGAUGGUAUUUGUGUUGCAAUUUUUUUUCCUUUUUUCAACAAUAAACAUAUCAUUAUCACAUUUUUGGGUGUCAGUAACAGGUAAAUAAUUAAAAGCAAAUGCUAAUAUCACAAAAAGCCAUUUCAUGAAUUUCUUAAUGGAUGCAAAAGAACUGUAUAACCAGUCUUUAGCAUUUGCUAAUUAUGUAUAUAUUGUGUCUUUCACCUACUGAUUUGCAAGGUGUUUAUUUAGAGAGCACAUUUUUCUAGUCUUUUCCAUUAUUCCAUACCUUUUGUUAAUACCAGUAACAAAGAUCUCAAAAAAGGUAAACGAUUGAUAGCUGUUUUAGUAGCAUUACAGCACAAAACCUUGCAUAAUAACAAGUGCAUUA